AACGAACGCUGGCGGCAGGCUUAACACAUGCAAGUCGAACGGGCGUAGCAAUACGUCAGUGGCGGACGGGUGAGUAACACGUGGGAAUAUGCCUUUCGGUUCGGAACAACUCGGGGAAACCCGUGCUAAUUCCGGAUACGCCCUUACGGGGAAAGAUUUAUCGCCGAAAGAUUAGCCCGCGUUGGAUUAGCUAGUUGGUGAGGUAAAGGCUCACCAAGGCGACGAUCCAUAGCUGGUUUGAGAGAACGACCAGCCACACUGGGACUGAGACACGGCCCAGACUCCUACGGGAGGCAGCAGUGGGGAAUCUUGGACAAUGGGCGCAAGCCUGAUCCAGCCAUGCCGCGUGAGUGAUGAAGGCCUUCGGUUGUAAAC
Molecule: ribosomal RNA, 375 nt
Filed under: uncultured bacterium
Lineage: Bacteria
Description: bacterial SSU rRNA
Rfam family: Bacterial small subunit ribosomal RNA
Source: RNAcentral